UACGGGGGGGGCAAGCGUUGUUCGGAAUUACUGGGCGUAAAGGGCUCGUAGGUGGCCAACUAAGUCGGACGUGAAAUCCCUCGGCUUAACCGGGGAACUGCAUCCGAUACUGGAUGGCUUGAGUUCAGGAGAGGGAUGCGGAAUUCCAGGUGUAGCGGUGAAAUGCGUAGAUAUCUGGAGGAACACCGGUGGCGAAGGCGGCAUCCUGGACCGACACUGACGCUGAGGAGCGAAAGCCAGGGGAGCAAACGGG
Molecule: ribosomal RNA, 253 nt
Filed under: uncultured bacterium
Lineage: Bacteria
Description: partial 16S ribosomal RNA
Rfam family: Bacterial small subunit ribosomal RNA
Source: RNAcentral